This 198-nucleotide ribosomal RNA is filed under the name uncultured bacterium. RNAcentral describes it as "partial 16S ribosomal RNA". It matches the Rfam family "Bacterial small subunit ribosomal RNA", at positions 328 to 539 of the family's 1533-position model. The record is from RNAcentral.
ACGCUCGACACCUACGAGAGGCAGCAGUGGGGAAUAUUGCACAAUGGGGGAAACCCUGAUGCAGCGACGCCGCGUGGAGGAAGAAGGUCUUCGGAUUGUAAACUCCUGUUGUUGGGGAAAAAGAGGAUGGUACCCAACAAGGAAGUGACGGCUAACUACGUGCCAGCAGCCACGGUAAUCUGAGCGGGCUGGCAAGGC